Molecule: long non-coding RNA, 319 nt
Organism: Drosophila ananassae
Lineage: Eukaryota; Metazoa; Arthropoda; Insecta; Diptera; Drosophilidae
Exons: 2
Source: RefSeq, a predicted model, not a curated record
UUGAAUUAAAUGCAUCUUGCAAAGAGAAAGAAAUACAAUGAAAUAUUCAACUUUUUUUUUACUUUUUCUAGUAAAUUUUUCAGAAAUAAACAUUCCAACCGUGGCUGGCUAUGAAAAAGAGAAGUGUGAUGCAAUUCACAGUAAUGGAGGACCUUGCCGGAUACAGCCCACAACGAUGUGGACUUUCAUAAAACGACAGAAAAGAUGCAUUGAUAUUGAUUAUUUUGGAUGCCCGGACACAAAAAACAUAUUUAAGUCGGAAGACGAAUGCCGGAAAGCUUGUUCAUUCGUUUUUUUUCAAUAAAUCCAAUGUUAAUAA